This 497-nucleotide ribosomal RNA is filed under the name uncultured bacterium. Its description in RNAcentral is "partial 16S ribosomal RNA". It matches the Rfam family "Bacterial small subunit ribosomal RNA", at positions 28 to 507 of the family's 1533-position model. The record is from RNAcentral.
GAUGAACGCUGGCGGCGUGCCUAAUACAUGCAAGUAGAACGCUGAAGGAAGGAGCUUGCUCUUUCCGGAUGAGUUGCGAACGGGUGAGUAACGCGUAGGUAACCUGCCUGGUAGCGGGGGAUAACUAUUGGAAACGAUAGCUAAUACCGCAUAACAGUGGAUGUUGCAUGAUAUCUACUUAAAAGGUGCAAUUGCACCACUACCAGAUGGACCUGCGUUGUAUUAGCUAGUUGGUGAGGUAACGGCUCACCAAGGCGACGAUACAUAGCCGACCUGAGAGGGUGAUCGGCCACACUGGGACUGGGACACGGCCCAGACUCCUACGGGAGGCAGCAGUAGGGAAUCUUCGGCAAUGGACGGAAGUCUGACCGAACAACGCCGCGUGAGUGAAGAAGGUUUUCGGAUCGUAAAGCUAUGUUGUAAGGGAAGAACGGGUGUGAGAGUAGAAAGUUCACACUGUGACGGUAUCUUACCAGAAAGGAACGGCUAACUACGUG